RNAcentral lists this ribosomal RNA (429 nucleotides) under uncultured Alphaproteobacteria bacterium. RNAcentral describes it as "bacterial SSU rRNA". It matches the Rfam family "Bacterial small subunit ribosomal RNA", at positions 33 to 496 of the family's 1533-position model. Lineage: Bacteria; Pseudomonadati; Pseudomonadota; Alphaproteobacteria. The record is from RNAcentral.
ACGCUUGCUGCAUGCUUUAUACAUGCAAGUCGAACGGAGGCCCUAGCUUGCUAGGUGUCCUUAGUGGCGCACGGGUGAGUAACACGUGGGAACAUACCUCAUAGUACGGAAUAACUGCGGGAAACUGUAGCUAAUACCGUAUAUUCCAGUAAUGGGAAAGAUUUAUCGCUAUGAGAUUGGCCCGCGCAAGAUUAGUUUGUUGGUAAGGUAAUGGCUUACCAAGGCUACGAUCUUUAGCUGGUUUGAGAGGAUGAUCAGCCACACUGGGACUGAGACACGGCCCAGACUCCUACGGGAGGCAGCAGUAGGGAAUAUUGGACAAUGGGGGCAACCCUGAUCCAGCAAUGCAGCGUGAGUGACGAAGGCCUUAGGGUUGUAAAACUCUUUCAUCGGUGAGGAUAAUGACAGUAGCCGAAGAAGAAGGACCGG